GUGGGGAAUCUUGCGCAAUGGGGGGAACCCUGACGCAGCGACGCCGCGUGCGGGACGGAGGCCUUCGGGUCGUAAACCGCUUUCAGCAGGGAAGAGUCAAGACUGUACCUGCAGAAGAAGCCCCGGCUAACUACGUGCCAGCAGCCGCGGUAAUACGUAGGGGGCGAGCGUUAUCCGGAUUCAUUGGGCGUAAAGCGCGCGUAGGCGGCCCGGCAGGCCGGGGGUCGAAGCGGGGGGCUCAACCCCCCGAAGCCCCCGGAACCUCCGCGGCUUGGGUCCGGUAGGGGAGGGUGGAACACCCGGUGUAGCGGUGGAAUGCGCAGAUAUCGGGUGGAACACCGGUGGCGAAGGCGGCCCUCUGGGCCGAGACCGACGCUGAGGCGCGAAAGCUGGGGGAGCGAACAGGAUUAGAUACCCGAGUAGUCC
RNAcentral lists this ribosomal RNA (426 nucleotides) under uncultured bacterium. RNAcentral's name for it is "partial 16S ribosomal RNA". It matches the Rfam family "Bacterial small subunit ribosomal RNA", at positions 354 to 796 of the family's 1533-position model. The record is from RNAcentral.